GAACUCGCUGUGAAGAUGCAGUGUACCCGCGGCAAGACGGAAAGACCCCGUGAACCUUUACUAUAGCUUGACACUGAACAUUGAGCCUUGAUGUGUAGGAUAGGUGGGAGGCUUUGAAGCGUGGACGCCAGUCUGCGUGGAGCCAACCUUGAAAUACCACCCUUUAAUGUUUGAUGUUCUAACGUUGGCCCCUGACCGGGGUUGCGGACAGUGUCUGGUGGGUAGUUUGACUGGGGCGGUCUCCUCCCAAAGCGUAACGGAGGAGCACGAAGGUUAGCUAAUCCUGGUCGGACAUCAGGAGGUUAGUGCAAUGGCAUAAGCUAGCUUGACUGCGAGCGUGACGGCGCGAGCAGGUGCGAAAGCAGGUCAUAGUGAUCCGGUGGUUCUGAAUGGAAGGGCCAUCGCUCAACGGAUAAAAGGUACUCCGGGGAUAACAGGCUGAUACCGCCCAAGAGUUCAUAUCGACGGCGGUGUUUGGCACCUCGAUGUCGGCUCAUCACAUCCUGGGGCUGAAGUAGGUCCCAAGGGUAUGGCUGUUCGCCAUUUAAAGUGGUACGCGAGCUGGGUUUAGAACGUCGUGAGACAGUUCGGUCCCUAUCUGCCGUGGGCGCUGGAGAAUUGAGGGGGGCUGCUCCUAGUACGAGAGGACCGGAGUGGACGCAUCACUGGUGUUCGGGUUGUCAUGCCAAUGGCACUGCCCGGUAGCUAAAUGCGGAAGAGAUAAGUGCUGAAAGCAUCUAAGCACGAAACUUGCCCCGAGAUGAGUUCUCCCUGAGACUAUAAGUCUCCUGAAGGAACGUUAAAGACGAUGACGUUGAUAGGCCGGGUGUGUAAGCGCAGCGAUGCGUUGAGCUAACCGGUACUAAUGAACCGUGAGGCUUAACCUUACAACGCCGAAG
Molecule: ribosomal RNA, 899 nt
Filed under: Klebsiella pneumoniae
Lineage: Bacteria; Pseudomonadati; Pseudomonadota; Gammaproteobacteria; Enterobacterales; Enterobacteriaceae
Description: partial 23S ribosomal RNA
Rfam family: Bacterial large subunit ribosomal RNA
Source: RNAcentral